This is a non-coding RNA of Cricetulus griseus (Chinese hamster), 2302 nucleotides long. The record is from RefSeq and is a predicted model, not a curated record. Lineage: Eukaryota; Metazoa; Chordata; Mammalia; Rodentia; Cricetidae.
UCAGUUUCUCAGUACUUCACCCUAAUCAAAGGUUACAGGAAUUAUCAGCAUUUGCUCACUUGGGGAACUCCAGAAAGCCUCAUAGGAUUGCAAGAGGAAAUAAAGGACAAAAGGCAAAGCCCGUGCACCUGUGCUGAGCAGCAAGAGCAGGGCACAGACAAAAAUACUAUUAUCAUCAGGAUGGAGCAGAGCUACUACUGAAAGGGCUGACUGUGGCUGAUUUUCGAGAGGGGACACAGAAAGUGAUGCAUGGUGAAGAGCCACCACCUUGGUGAAGGACAAAGAGAGAAAAUGCUGUGUUGAGUGAAAGCUGAAGAUGUAGACACUACAGCAAAACAACUGGAGGAAGAUCAACAGAAGAAGGAUCAGCUGAUGAAAGAGAAAGAGAAAUGGGACCAGGAGCAUGUGAAACAUUUGACUGAGAAGAUGGAGAAGGAACAGGCCCAGAUGACGAGGAGCAACAGGGGAUCAUUGAGCAUAUUAUCUAUGUCCUCUUCUUUUAAAAAAUUUUUUUAAGUGAAGUUGUGUGUGUGUGUGUGUGAGAGAGAGAGAGAGAGAGAGAGAGAGAGAGAGAGAGAGAAUGUGUUAUUUUCUUGUAUGUAUGUCAUAUCUGUAUUGGCUGGUAAAAAAAAGUGAGAUUCCCUGGAGCUGGAGCUCUAAAUGGUUGUGAGCCACCUGACUUGGAUGUUCAGAAUUGAAUUGCAGUCUGUAUACACAGUUUACAACUGUAAAAAUAUCUCAGCUCUUUCUCAUAAUGGGAUCUACAAAGGUAGUUUUUCCAUUUUAUCUGGUAUGAAUUUAUUCCAAAGAGAGUGUUAUGGUGAGAGAAAUGCUUUAACCCUCACAAGUAUGUGACAGUCUGUCUAUCCCUCCUCUUUCUGGUACUCUGCUCUCAAUUUGUGUUCAGUUGGCAGUUUGUUGAGGAAAUUCAUUGUCUUCAUUCUGGGACUCUUUACUUUACUUUACCUAUCACUCUGCUACCAAGCAGUGGAUGCUCACACCAGAUUUCUUCUCCCAUCACUGCUCUCUCUCUUUCUGUGUGAGUUCCUUUGUAUAUUUGUGCUUGCUUGUGUCGGUACAUGGAUGUGAAGGCCACAGGUGUCCAAAUCUUCCUCCAUUACUCUUCCACCAUAGUUUUUGAGACAGGGUCUCUCACUGAAACCAGAGUUCACUUUGGGCUAGCCUGGCUGGCCUACUGGUUUCAAGGAUCUGCCUAUAUCUGCCUCCCCAGACUGGCAUUACACCACAUUGCUGCAUCUAGUUUUUACAUGUGUGCUUGGGUGUCCAGAUCAGGUCCUCAGGUUCAUGCACCAGGAAUGUUCCUGACUCAGCCAAGCAUUCCCCACAAAGUUUCUCAGACUAAGAUUCAGAGCCUUAGGUCAGAUUUUCAGAAUUCAUCUGUAUGGUGCAUGUUUACAUAAAAUAUGAAUAUGGGGGUCUAAGUAAGGUCUAUAGUGCUACAACUUGAAGUCAGACAUGGUUAAGAACAUCUACAGAGGAUAUGGACCACUGAUAAGGAAAAUAAUCAAUACUAGUCACUUAGGUCCAUAAAUAGAAUUGUUCUACUUUAAUGUGCCCUAGGCAUGAAUAGCUUUGGCCACAAAGGCAACAUCAAGCUAGGAUGAAAAAGGACUGUUAUCUGCAAUGCCCCGGACUGAAAUAAGAACACCAGCAUCAACAAGAUGUCUCCUUGCGAAGGGCUGGAAUUGUUUCUUAGCUACAACACCCCCCCAAAAAAAAAAGACUUGAUCCCACAGCUACCCAAAAAAAACAUGAUUUGGGGAGGAGAAAAAUUCAAAAAAGAAAACAACAUUUCUUUGCAUAUUAAAUUUUACAUAGAGACGAAAACAGGUUAAAGUUCUGGAUAGAUAUCACUAACAAAAAUUAAAUCAAGAACAGAUUAGCAAUUUUAGCAGACCUAUAACCCCUAAUGAAAUAGAAACAGUCAUCAAAAUUCACGCAACCAAAAAAUCCCAGGGCCAGAUAGCUUCUUUGUAUAAUUCUACCAGAAGUUCAAAGAACAGCUAAUACCAAUAUUCCUCAAAAUGUUCCACACAAUUGAAGCAGAAGGGCCAUUGCCAAACAAUUUUUAGGAGACUAUAAUUACCUUGGUACCCAAGUCACACAAAGACACAAUUAAGAAAGGGAACUACAGACCAAUAUCCCCAACGAGCACUGAUGCAGAAAUAUUCAAUAAACCACUGGCAAAUUGAAUCUAAUAACACAACAUAAAAAUCAUCCACCAUGAUCAAGUAGGCUUCAUCCCAGGGAUGAUUCAACAUAGGAAAAGCCAUCAAUGUAA